Molecule: long non-coding RNA, 15430 nt
Filed under: Fragaria vesca (wild strawberry)
Lineage: Eukaryota; Viridiplantae; Streptophyta; Magnoliopsida; Rosales; Rosaceae
Description: long non-coding RNA (FVES_LNC003912)
Source: RNAcentral
UGGUUAUUGUUACAGCUUGCCUUAUAGCUAAGUUAUAGAUAAAGGAAACAAAAGACGAAGAAGGCAUACCGUUUCACUGUGGUUUUUGUGGUCAGUGAAAUUGGUAUGCGCCCAUGCAUGCUUUUAGUUCUAUGGGUGUUCAGCUUAUAGAUUAUAAGACUAGUUAAUAAGAGGUUUGAAAAUAUUUGUUUUGUACUCGGUUAAUUUGACCUUCUGGCAUUGUAAGAUAUGUUCAUCAAGUCCUUCAGUUUUAAAUCGACUCUGCUUCUUGUCGUUCUUGUUGAGCAUUUUAACAUUUGGAUGUCUCAACUUCACUGAGGUCGACAUGAAAACGACUCAACAUCCUAAAUUGCUUGCAGUGUGCAUGACUGCCAAUCUGCACCAGGGUUCUCGAUUUCCAUGGACUUUUGGAUGUCAAUAAUGCCUUGAAAUGUUUACUCAUGCAGUCAUGCCUGGUCUCGAAAGUUUCCACUUUCCUAUCACUUCCGGGAGAAUUUGACCAUGCUUAAAAAGCACUAUCAUCCCAUUUGACAAUGUUUACUCAAUUCUCAACGUACACUCCUUAAGUACAAAAACCAGGCAGCUCGAGCAAAGUAGCAGUCCGUUUGCUACGAUCCAGUACCAGUGAUGAUAGUGAGAAACGACUCCUAGCUAUUAUUUACAGACAAAAUGGACAGCCAAAACUACCAGCGACUCCAUUUCAGCUUUAUUGAUGAGCAGCCAUUGUCAUGCUCCUCCCAUGAUCCCAUCUUCUCUGUUUCUCCGUCCAUAAUGGGGCUUUCAAAACGACGCCGUCCUGCUUCGAGGAGGUGCAUACAUCGCCACUAGCUAGGUCGAAACCCUGACCCCUUCAGAACCAAGUAUAGCGACAUCGAAGUUGCUCAUGAUACAAAAAGCAUUUAUGUUUGGACUUUGAAGUGGUUGGGCCAGUUUACUAGCUAAUAUGACAAAAAUUUAACGACUAUAGAAGCAACAUGUUAGAAGCAAAUAUUAAAAUAUCGGUAUCGGUGUAUUUAUCGGUCCUUUAAAAAAAGGAGAUAUUGGAUAUAUUGGUGAUUAUAUCGGGGAAACCCGGGAAAAAAUUUCGAGAUUUUGGGAAGAAUUUUUUUUUCUUCUGAAAUAUUUAAUUUAUUGGAUUUACAUACAAAUAUUACAAACAUCACCUUCAUCUACAUCCAGAAUGAGAAUCUAGGUUGUUGAUAAGACGCACGCUGGUCCACAAAAGUACAAUAAUCAGACCAAGACAUAUGAAUCAUCUCCAAGUUUGAUAAUUGUGUAAUAGAUCGAUCUGCAUCCAAAUAUCUCUUGAAAGGAAUCAUGCUCUUCUCGAGACCACCACUCUUCAUUGGGAUACACCUCGAGGGAAUUACUUCUCUUCUGGAAAUCACUCAAGACCCUCACUCUUCAUUAGGAUAUACCUCGAGAUAAUUACUUCUAUCAUAGAUAUCACUUCAGACCCACACUCUUCAUUGAGAUAUACCUUGAGAGAAUUACUUAUAUUCUAAAUAUACCUUGAGGGAAUUUCUCUUCCGGAAAUCACUCAAGAGUCAAGAUCCUUACUCUUCAUUGGGAUAUACCUCGAGGGAAUUACUUCUAUCCUAGAUAUCACUUGAGACCCACACUCUUCAUUAAGAUAUACCUCGAGUGAAUUACUUCUUUUUCCGGAUAUCAUUUCAAUUUUUUUUACAGAUAUUUUUUUAAUAUAUUGGUGAUAUAUUGAAAAUAUCAUAAAUAUCGGAGAUAUUUACGAUAUUAGAGAAAUAUCGGGGAAAUAUCGUAGAUACAAUGGAAUAUAAAAUAUUGACCCCCUAUAGAUAUAUCGGUCUUUCAAAAAAAAAAAUUAUCGGAGGAUAUAUCGGAUAUAUCGCAGAAAUUUUAAUUCUUGGUUAGAAGUGAUUUUGGAUGUACAAGUGAAGCAUACGAAAUUCAAAAACUAAGAAAUUCAUUCUGAUAACUGUAAAAAAUAUGGGCAAUCAAAUGAAAACUGGAUCAUGAAGAAUAUAAAAUAUCGAUGAGAUAAGGUGUGCCACAACUUUGAAGAAAUUUGGAGGCUCUUUUCACGGGUGGUGUGAAAGGAAAAUGUUGUAUGAUUGACCAAUCAAACGUUCCAUAUUGUAUGAACUUAUGAUCAGAUUUGAGCCCUUUUAACGGUUUGUACGGUGGAUUGUUGCCAUGCUUGUAAUUUGGUCGAUAUGCUUAAUGUCUGACAGGUCACACAGAACUAAUUCAACUGAAAAUAUCUUCAAUAUUAUACCAUACAUUAACAAGGCGCACUUGUGAAACUGAUUAGAUGUAAAGAAUGAUACAAAUCGUACAAAUCUCCUAGCGUCACCUGAGUUACUGAAUCCAAGGGUGUGAGAAACAUGGAGAAAAGCCACAGCCGUACGUAGAAUAUGUGCGGUGGUCUUUGCUGCCAUUGGCCUACUGGUAAUGCGCGCCACAGCUGUACGUAGAAUUUGUGCGGUGGUCCUUGCUGCCAAGUUGCCUUGAGGGUUCCACUGACCGAUAUUGAUUUGAUAGCCACUUGAGUAAAAAAGAUGUAAAGCUCGACAAGACCUAAGCACUCAAAACUAAAUUAUUCAUAAUGGAACAGUACGUUGCUUUAGAUUCCAUGGAGACACAACAAGCCACAAUCCGCUAUAUAUAAGCUACAAGACCGGAAGUUGCAUCUCCAUUCCUUCUCAAAUUGAAAAAGCCAACCAAGAAAGCACAACAGAAAAGGAAGAGCAUGCAAACCAGCUCGUACUUGCUCUCAUUUUUCUCCAGCUCGAUUACGAAUUAAGCUUCCAUUGCUCUCUUUCUAUAAUACCAUAAAGGCAUAAACCAAAGAUCGAGUAUCAUCCAUUGUUUUCAUUUGUCUUCCGAUGUCAGUCUUCCCUGCACACUUCUGGCUAGCAACCUUCUUUAGUUUUACUUCGAUCAUUGCUCUAAAUACUUCUCAGUUUUUAAAGUCGUAAGAAAGGUUUUAUUCAAAAAAAAGAAGAAAAAGAAAAAGGUAUUGCCUUUAAUUACAUCAUUUCUUCUAAUUCAUGGUUUUGUUCAUUUUUGUUUACAAUGUUUUAAUACCUUUGGUGUUGUGGUUUUAUUUCACAGAUAUGCAUCCCCAUUCAUACUCUAUCUAGUGUUGGGUGGAGAAUUUGAUCGAAGGAGAUACACACCUUAUUCGUAGGUCGUCAGAGGUAUAUCAUUUAAUUUCAUUCCUCAAUUUUAUUAUCUCAGUGUUUUCCUUUUUCUCUUUUCAUUUCAUAUUUGGAGUAAUAUGAUCUAAGGACAUCUUUAACAUACUCUCUAUCUUGACUCCUUAGCUAUUUUGGAGAGUUUAUACAACUUUUUGUCAAUAUUCCAUUUUAACUUUUAUCAUUCUCGCUUUUAAAUGUAGAGAGUAAAAUGUAGGUUUUUUUUUUUUUUUUAAAUCGUAAAAUGAGGUUUUAUAUAAUUAAAAACUGUUUGAGUCUAAUUAAAAUAGAGAGAACCGAUGCGCACGUAAAUUUAAGAUGGCUAGUCAAAGUGACUAUUUUACUAUUUUGGCUAAAAAUUGACUAAAUCGGAGCUAACCUUAGAAGCGACUAAUUAUCGAACGCUAUUAUAUAACCCCCAUAAAUCUUAUUUUAGAGUUUCUAAUUGAUAAAAGCUUGUACUUUGUAAUAUAGAUAGCAUAAGUAUUAAUUACGCACACUACUGGAAAUUUUUCUUUAGCCGACGGAAACAACUCAUCGACUAAGAAAGGUAAUUUGUCGACUAUGAUCUAGGCAAACAAACAAUUCGUCGCCUAAGUUUCGUUGGCUAAGUGUGGUGAGGUAGGCACCUAGCCGACUGAACCAACUACAGUCGUUGACUAAGAAAGUCUCUAGCCAAUGAACGUAUUCCUGCCUUGUCCACAAGCCUAUUCGUCGAUAAGAACUCCCUAUUGACGAAAGGUUUUCAUCAGUAUAAGUGUUAGCUGACGAAUUUGAAAUUUUUCUUAGUCUACGAAAUAAUCGUCGGUAUGUAUUUAAACUGAUGAAUGUUGUUCUUAGUCGAUGGAAUAUGUAUCGGCAGAAUUCUAAACCGACGAAGUUGUAUCUUUCUUAGUCGACAUCUGUAUGAUCGUCGGCUAGUUGGUCAUCUCAGUCGACGAAUGUUAGGGUUUCCGUCACCUAAGAUAUUUUUGGUAUUUAUUAAAACUGUAAUUAUUUUUCACUCUAAAAAUUAAGAAAAUAACAAUAUAAUAAGCAACAGAUACAAUAAAAUCAUGAUUUCAAAAACAUAUUCAUAUUGAUAACUAGAUCGAAAAAUAUUGUUCAUACCAACUAAACUAUUAACGAAAACAAAAGUGCCAAAUGAACUAGGAAAUUGUUCAUACAAACUAAAUUAACAUAAGAAUUAAAUUCAGUUUACCCCCAUGAAAUUUGAGAGUAACUUCAUGUUAAUCCCUAUACUUUCAAUUUCAUCAGUUUACCCCUCAAAUUUUUGAAUUUUCCUCAAGCGUGACCAAAUGUCCUAUAUUCUGUUCAAAUCGGACGUUAACUGCUGAUAAUUUUAACCUUAACUGUGAGGCCAGUAUCUAGAAUUUGGGGAAAUCGGACCUUAUAUGUCCAAAUCGAACCUUAUCUGCUGAUAAUUAAAGGUCAAUUCAAACAGAAUAUGAGAAUUUGGGCACGGCAGACAGAAAUUGAAGAGUUCAAGGGGUAAACUAAUGAAAAUAAAAGUGUAGGGACUAACAUGAAGUCACCCCCAAACCACAAGGGGGUAAACUGAAUUUAAUUCUUAACAUAAACAAAAGUACUACAAAAUCCUAAAACAAAAGGUCAGUGUUGCCAAAUCCGCUGUUGUCGCCUCCAUCAUCAUUGUUGUGUGGGGAAAAUUGUGGAGGAGGAGGUUGUAUAUCUAGGUGUUCAUAUAGGGCUGUAACUUGUAGUUGCACUGCAUUAUACUUCAAUAAACACUGGGCACGCUCCUGAACCUCUUGGAUUUUCUACUGGGCACGCUCCUGAACCUCUUGGAUUUUCUACUGGGCACGCUCCUCUGACUCUUUUAGUUUAUGCUAAUAGUGCUCCUGAACCUCUUGGAGUUGCUGAUAUCAUCAACAUUAGGAGCACGACUACGUGAAGUCGAAUGUGAGGAAUGGCUCAAGUCUCGCUCGCCUCCUCGUCCCAUCCCUCUGAUCUCCUUUCCUUUCCGAGUUUUGAGCACCGGACUCAACACAUCAAUUUGUUGUGAUUGAACACUUUCCAUAAUCUGCUUCUUCGUCGCGUCAGGAUGUUUUUCCUUAAAUUCAUUCAUUCGUCUAUUGACCUCAUCAACCAUGUCAUUCUGCAUUUAAAAUACAUCAAUUAAUAAACAAAAUCUGCCCAACUUUUCCAUUAGCAUCUAAAACAGUAAGACUUGAAGCUUAAAUCUCAGCUUGAAACAAUGAGUGUAAACCCUUUUCCAAGAUUCAACAUGCAUCAAAUUCUAUAAUCUCAUGCAUGCAAGACACUUUCCUCACAGGACUACAAGUCUACAACUAAACAAGUUAGUGAAACCUUAAAACAGGAAAACAACACCUUUUCAUUCCAAGGAUACACAACAAACAAUAUAUAGAAAUAGUUUUAACAAGCAUGCUGUUGAUAUCAGUUCUUAUUAAUAGAGGACGCACUUAUUGGCACUAACCAAAAAAAAUGAAAUGUAACCAAACAUAAACAUAGGCCAUCACGAAUCGUUUUCCUCUCAAAACUGUUGAUACAAGCAUCUUAGAGAAACUUCAGACCAAAUAAAAGAAUGUCAGAACAACAUUUGUUCUGGAAAAUGCAACCCCUUGACCAUUAUUCAUCUAAAUAAUAUGUUGUGUAACCAAACCAACUCCAAUCAACAAUAUACAUGGGGGGCCAAUUUUUCCUUUAGCUUGAGCAACCAAAUGUUCUUCUGUAUCAUGAUCAAAACUUGAAACUUUGGAACUUUAAUUAAAAUAGAACUGCUAUGUUCUAUUCCAUCAAUUGGAGUUGAGUCUUGACAAAAAGUUUAUAAAAUUAAGUUUAAAAAUUAAAAUCAUGCAUUGGAGAUGGCCUUAAGCAGAGACCCACCACAAAACCCACUAGAAAUAACAACCGAUGAAUACCAGAUCAAGCAUCUUCAAACUGGUUGUAGCCAUCAAUAUGAUAGAGGUAAACUUUAGGUUACACUCGAUCAUGAUCCUUUUGAAAUGGUUUGAUACAAGCACUUUGAUUACAAGGUUCUAAUGUCCUAUGUCUACACAUAUAAGUUCAUGUCUACAUACAGACAAUACAAGUUCAACGUUACCCAUUGUCAGAUAAAUGUUGGUUCAUAUGAAUGUCUUUUUUCAUCUGAGUAAUGUUAGGUGAAUCAUCUAUAGCCCACUUUACGUGACAUGCCCACGUUAUCAAAAUAUGAUUUCUAAUAUUUUUUAAUUUCUAUCUUGUAUUCAUUACGGAAUUUUUUUUUUGUUACAUACGAAAUUUCUUUUUUCAUUUUUACUUUCUUAAUUUAAUUCUUUAAGCCCUAUCCUUUAUCUCUAAUCCUUUAAAAAAAAUCUGCCUACAAGCCUUCAAACAGCGUAGCCUCCUUCUCUCAUCUCACGCAUCCUCCCACCUCCUCUUUGAUUCAAUUGAUCAAGGAAUUCCUCUGUUUGAUUUUGGCUUUCUCGAUCAUAGGCAUCGUCUUCUAAUCGUGGCUAUAUUUUUUUUCCUUUUCAUAACAAGUUUGGAAUUAAGGGUUUGGGAGAGUGGAUUUGAAGUGGGGUUUUUUCGUACUCAACCUCAUAGCUAGCUGCGAUUCCUUUUCAAAUAGCCUUUGCUUGUUUUUUUUUUUUCUUUGCUUUUUUUUCAUAUGGUUGUGGUUGAUUAUGCAUAGAGGCUUGCACAUGAAAAACCCUCUUCUUUUUUUUUAGAAUGACACAUGAAUUGAAGAACCUUGAUUCACUCGGUUUGAGCACAAAGCAAUUGCAUGUAUUGGCUUGAAAACCUACAUUCUGGUGAAGACUUGUUUCUUGAAGGGUGCGAUAAAAAAACAGCAAAACAUAUGAGAAAGAACGCAACAAUGGUAUGAGUAUAAGGUUGGAAGUGGGUUACGGCUGUUUGAAGAUGUAUUAGGCUGUUUUUUUUUUAAAGGGAUUAGAAAGAUAAAGGAUAUAAAAAAAGAAAUUCAGUAAUGAAUAAAAAAUAGAAAUUGAAAAAUAUUAUAAAUUAUACUUUGAUGACGUGGGCAUGUCAUGUCACCAUGCAAUGUAAGGUGGGCUCUUGGUGUUCACCAAAAGGUGGUUCAUCUACCAUUACUUUUUUCAUCUUAUUUGCCUGUUUCUUUUGCAUUUCUCUUUUCUAGUUUACACUUAACCAUAUGAGCAAAAUUAUCUCGGGAACAAAAAACCAUAAUAUUGCAUCUUAGCAUCUCCAAAACCUUUAAAAUUGAUAGUUUACCUCUAAAUGUAUUUCCCCCAACAUAAGUAGGAUUAGAUUUCAAAUCCUCUGAACUUAUAUGAUUACAAUUGUGAAUUUUCUUGUCACGGGGAUCUGACUAGAAUUUAUUUUCUUCAACAGGCAUGGCAUUUCUUAGGGAAAUUGGUACUGCAAUUGUUACAAAGCUAGCUGAGUACACAGUUGAGCCAGUUAUACGCCAAGUGGGUUAUGUGAUCUGCUACAAAAACAACCUCAAAGAACUACAAUCUCAAGUUGAUGACUUGGUUGAUGCUAGAACAAGCAUGCAGCAUUCUGUCGAAGCAGAGGAAAGAAAAGGUAAAAAGAUUGAAACAGGAGUCCAGAACUGGCUGACUAAAGCGGAACAGUUGACUAAGGAAGCAGAUGAGGUGAAAGCUAAACACCUCGCACAGACCAAGUGUCUACAUGGCUUUUGUCCUAAUCUAAAGCUUCGUCAUCGUCUAAGCAGGAAAUCAACAAAAUUGGUCCAAGAGGUGGCUAAGCUUUGUGAGAAAAAGAAGACUUUUGAUAAUAUUGCAUAUGUUGCUCCCUUAGAAGAGGUGUGUGCAAUAGCUAUCCAAGAUUAUGAGGCCUUUGAUUCAAGGACUUCAACUGCGAAGGCUGUAAUCAACGAACUAAGAAAUUUUAAUACCCAUACGAUUGGGGUGUAUGGUAUUGGGGGUGUCGGAAAGACGACACUUGUUAAAGAGGUGUAUAAUCAAUUAGCUGUAACAAGUGAGAAGCUGUUUGAAGAGGUAGUUAUGGUACUCGAUCUUAAACAGAAUCCCAGCAUCGAACGAAUUCAGAAAGCAAUUGCGGAGAAGUUAGGCCUCGAGCUUCCUGAAACUGGGACCUCAGGAGGAAGAGCAAGUCUAAUAAGUAACAGGAUCAAAAACAAAAAGACUCUUGUGAUCCUAGAUGAUGUCUGGGAGAACAUUGAUUUGGAGGCUGUUGGUCUUCCUCGCAUGGCAACUCUCAAAAUCUUGUUGACUUCACGAAGUAAGCUAGUAUUAGCUAAAGACAUGGGUACACAAAAAGAGUUUCCUCUCAAAGUAUUGAACAAAGAAGAAACUUGGAGAUUAUUUCAGAAAAUGGCGGGUGAUAUUGUUGAAAAGCCAGACAUACAAACUAUAGCAGCCAAAGUGGCUGAGAAAUGUGGAGGUUUACUGCUUUUGAUAGUGACUGUUGCAAGAUCUCUGAAAGAUAGUCCAUUACAUGACUGGAAAGAUACUUUCAGACGACUGAAGAAGUUUGAUGGAAAAGGACUGGAAGAAAAAACAUACUCUGCCAUAGAGUGGAGUUACGAUAAAUUGAAUAGUGAGGAGCUUAAGUCGGUAUUUUUGCUUUGCGCAAGUGAGGUUGGGAGGGCCAAUGAUGUUGAUAUCCUUGACUUGUUGAAAUACAGUAUGGGGCUGGGUUUCAUAAAGAAUGUAGAUACAAUGGAAGAAGCACGGGAUGCAUUGAAUUCACUGCUUAUGAAGCUUCAGUAUUCUUGUCUGUUGCUAGAUACUGACGAUAAGCAAUUGGUCAGAAUCCAUGAUCUUGUCAAACAUGUUGCUCAACAUAUUGCUGCUAGAGAUCAUCAUGUGUUAUCAGUACCUUAUGGAAGUGAGUUGAGAGAAUGGCCAGAUAAGGAAUUCUGCAAAAAAUGCACUUGGAUCUCUCUCAUAUACUGCCAAACUCCCGAGCUUCCUCAAGUUCUGCAAUGCCCAGAACUAACAAUGUUUCAUUCAAGCAGUGUUGAUGUUGACUCCCGUGAAAUUCCAAGCAACUUUUUUAAAGAGAUGAAGAAACUCAAAGUUUUAGAUUUAACUAAACGGAGUAUUGCAUCGCUACCUCCAUCUCUUAAAUGCCUCAAAGAUCUUCACACGUUGUGCUUGGAUCAAUGCACGUUGGGAGACCUUGCUCUAGUUGGUGAGUUACAUAACUUGAAUAUCUUGAGCUUGUUAUAUUCCAAGUUCAAAGAAUUACCUAAAGAGAUAGGGAAAUUAACUCGUCUACGAUUGUUGGAUUUGACCUGCUGUUCUCAACUCGAAGUGAUUUCACCUGAUGUUAUAUCCAAGUUGAAACGACUCGAAGAGUUGAGAAUGGGAAAGAACAGCUUUAACAAAUGGGAGGCUGGAAGAGUCGGCGAGACUAAAAGAAGUAAUGCAAGCCUUGAAGAGCUAAAGUACUUGCCUCGGCUAACCGCAUUACAUAUACAUAUCCCAGAUGCCACCAUACUUCCAGCAAAUUUGUUCACCACUAGUAAGUUGGAGAGAUUCCAAAUAUGUAUUGGUUCUAUGUGGAAAUGGGAUGAUGUUGAUGAAGCUCUCAAUGCACUAAAGCUCAAGCUCACUACCAACAAUGAAUUGGACCAAGGUCUAACAAUGUUGCUCAAAAGAACUCAAGACUUGUACGUGGAGGGGAUGGAGGGUGUUAAUGACAAGUUUUUCCGUGAAUUAGCCACAGGAGGUUAUCAGCAAUUGAAACAUUUACAUGUCCAAAACAAUGCUAAAGUGGCAUACACCAUUAAUGAGAAGGUACCACCUUACAUUUAUCGUUUCAUUUUAUCUUAUUUUUGCAUUUUUGUUAUUAUGAUGCAUAGUUAUUUUUUAGCGUAUUGAUUGUUCUACUACAUUUAGUUGAUGAGCUAUUCAUCCGGAGUAAAUAAUUAAUUACAUGCAAUUUGUUAUUUCCUAAACAUGUUAUCAGGUUGGUUUUCCUAACUUAACAUGGUUGGCGGUGAGUGAGCACAACGGUUUAAGAUUCUUGUUAUCAUCUUCAAUGGCUAGAAGUUUAUCACAACUAAAACGUCUUCAAAUUUCCGGAUGUCAAAUCAUGGAAGAGGUAAUUUCAAUAGAAGAAUCUAAUCAAGAAAUUGCCCAUAACUUCUUUCCCCAACUACAAGAUCUGGAGCUAAAAGGCCUUCCAAACCUCACUAAACUCUGCUCAACAAGUUACGUUGAAUUGCCAAAUCCAUCCUAUGAGAGAUUGCAAUUAGAGGACAGUACUGCAACUGGUGGCAUCUGUGAAGAAUUUGAAGAGAUUCACUCAAAAAGAAACCUUGAUAUUGUGAGGCAACACUUUAUUUUUGAAAAUAAGGUGAACAAAUACGUUUUUUUUUCUUUCCAGCAGUAAUAUAUAUAUAAUAUAUAUAUAUAUAUAUAUAUAUAUAUAUAUAUACAUAUCCAAUAUUCUCUAAACAACAAAGAACGGUUUUUUUGUGAGGGACAACUGAAUAUUACUGCUGAAAAUAAAUGCACAGUUUUAAGUUAUUAUAAAUAAGUGUAUCAUCCUCUCAUCUCCAUAAAAGUAUUGGUUCGUUUUUGUUAAUGGAUACAUAAAUAAGGUGAAUAUCAUGUAUAUGCAGGUGGAGUUUCCAAACUUGAAGAAGUUAUCCCUUAAUGGCCUAGCAAAGUUGACGACAAUAUGGAACAAUCAUCUUUCUCUAGGGAGUUCAAAAAACCUAGAGACAAUAGAGAUUGUUUCGUGUGACAAUUUGAAGAGUGUUUUUCCAGCUUCUGUGGCCAAAAGUCUUCAACAGUUGAGGAGUCUAGAAGUGAAAAAUUGUGGGGUUGAGGAAAUCAUUUCACAAGAAGAGGGUGUACUGAUAGCACUUAUGUUUGUUUUUUCAAAAUUAUCAUAUGUGAGAUUUGAGAACUUGCCCAAACUCAAGAGCUUCUAUCCAGGAUUUCAUGAUUGUAAGUGGCCGUCACUUGAAACUUUGGCAGUGUAUGAUUGUAAUGAAGUGCAUAUAUUUGCGGAUGGUACGCGUGUGUUAAAUAAUCUCUAUACCCCAGAUAAACAAUCUCUGUUUUUACUUGAGAAGGUAACAGUACUAUUACAUAUUUAAUUCCUCUUCAUACCAGUGUUAAAUUAUCUAUAAGCGCUAAAUUAAAUUCUCCAUUCAAAUCUGAAGUUUGUUGCUCUACUUAAAGUAUUUAUUGAUAUAACUGACCAGAAGUUAUGGAAUUGAUUUUUCAGGAUUCAUUCCCGAACUUGGAAUAUUUAGGCUUGGACGUACUGGAGAACUGGGAUAGUCCGCCACUCCACUUGUUGAGGAACCUCAAGCUUCUUUGUAGUAAAGCACACACCAACUCAUCUUUGAAUUCCCUUGAGCAACUACUUGGUCUUGAAAAAGUCAAUGGAGAAAUACAUGCAGCUGGGAAUGCUACCUUUCCGUUUUUAAGAGAGUUGCACCUUCACGGGAUGAGGAAUCUGAUGAAUCUUGGGGAUGAUAGCUUCGGACUAGCAGGCCUAUAUUUUCCAAAAGUGGAAAUUCUAGAGCUAGAGGAUUGUGACAGCUUAAAGAAUUUAAGAUCAUCAGCAAUAUCUUUCAACAAUCUAACAACAUUGCAAGUAAGUCGUUGUAAGGGAUUGAACUACCUGAUAUCUUUAUCCAUGGCCACAUGUUUGAUGCAACUCACAAAACUAGAAGUUGGUGAUUGUGAGGAAAUGAUAGAAAUAGUUGCAAGCAGUGGAAAUGAUGAUUUAGCAAAUGAGAUUGAAUUCAGGGUGUUGAAACAUUUGGAGCUGUCUAAUCUACCAAGUCUGAGAGGCUUUUGCUCGGGAACUCACAUUGUCAAAUUCCCCUGCUUGGAAAACUUAUCGAUGACUAGUUGUACUCAACUGGAGGGAUUCAUCUUUGAUUCUACGGAUAAAAGUACACUCGGCAACGAUAUCGAAGACGCCAACUCAAAUGAAAACACUGACACUGGAGUAGUGCAACGAUUCCUUUUGAACAACAAGGUGAAAUAACUAAUCGUAAAUCUGUUUAUAGUUUCUCUAACAGUUGUAUAAGAUAACUAAUAUAUAUUUUUGUACAGGUUGAACUACCGAGGUUGAUGAGCUUGUCACUCAAGGGUCUAACAAAGUUGACCGCAAUAUGGCACAAUCAACUAUCUGAUAACUCUUUUGACGGUGAAAAUCUAAACUCGGUAGAAAUUGAUUCUUGUGAGAGCUUGAAAUAUAUAUUUCCAGCGACCGUGGCCAAAAGACUUGAGAGGUUAAGCAAGUUGAUAGUGAACAAGUGUGGAGUGGAGGAAAUCGUUGCAAUCGAAGGGGAACCACAAACAAUGCGGAAGUUUAUUUUCCCAAAAGUCACCUGUGUGAAAUUUACAGAACUCCCCAAUCUUACAAGUUUCUAUCCAGCCAUGCAUGCUUCCAGUUGGCCAGCACUUCAAAAGUUGGAGGUUCUUGGAUGUUACAAACUAGAGAUUUUAGCUGAGACACUUGCAAGCUUCCAAGGGAAAUACGAGUCAAACCUGUCUGCUCCAAUUAAACAAACUCUCUUUACAAUUGAGAAGGUACGGAUGCUUCUACACUUUCCCUUUCUCUUUGCAACAAUUAAUGGUUCCUAAACUAUGCAGAGGAUAUAAUUGACCUCCCAAUCUCUGACUCUAUUUCGGGUAUUAAUUUUUAUCAAUUUUAGGAUUCUUUCCCCAGCUUGGAAUACUUGAAACUAUCCAGCAUGGAGAUAUGGAAUGGUCCACUACCAGUCCACAUCUUUAAAAAACUAAAGUCCCUUGUGGUUUGGUGUCCACAGUCCAAGUCAGUUGUUGUCCUUGACAAAUUACUCGAUGAAGGAAACUCCAGUACUAGUACUAGGGAAAGAGAUGAUGCAGUUGAGUUCCGGACCCUUCCAAAUUUAAGAGGGUUGGAUGACUUGAUUAAAUCUUCGUUUAAUGCCCCACCUGAUGCAUCUUGGCGAGGAUAAUUCACAAUCAGCCACCCGCAUCCCAAAUUUUCCAAACCUGGAAUUUCUAGACGUGAUGGGUUGUCCCAGCUUAAGGAAUCUGAGAAUAGGGCCAGUCCUGGAGGAUUGAAGGCCCAGCGCGGAAAAAAAUGUUGUGCCCCUUAUAUCAAUUUUUUUUCAAAAAUACUUUUUUAUUUUUGGAUUUCAAACCUCUGAAUAUACUCUUAAUAUUGUUAUUAAAAAUACAUUUUAUAUAAACUUUUUUGGCCCUUAUGAAUAAUAUUUUUUCUUGAUUAUUUGGAUUAGUAUAGAUAUAAAUUGUAUUGUUCAUAUGAUUUUCUCACUUGAACAUUUGCUCAACUACCAUUAGAUUAUAGAAGUAUGCAAUGAAAUAUGCGAUAUGUUAAUCUUGCAGGAGAGUGACAUGCUCUUUCAACCUGCCAAAAGAUUCCUGCCUGCAAUCCAAGAGGUAAACAAAAUUUUAGAGUGAUUAGCCAAGUACAUAUGCCUUAACCUCACAUAUAAGGAACUAUCGUUUCCUUGCAAUUGCAGCAGUCUUCACUCAACAGAUAAACUUAAUGCUAGUGUUUGUGACAUGAUAGAUACGCAUACUGUUGGAGGAAAUAGCAAGAAAGAUUGAAGGUGCAAGAGUAGAGGACAAUAGAUUCUGCAUCAGUGUACAUUACCGGAAUGUCCGGGAAGAGGUAGAAAUAUAUAGUCUAAUGUCUCAUCUCAUUGUUAUCUUUAUAUUCAGUUAUACAUGAAAAUUUCUAAAAGUUAUGUCCCCCUGCAGGAUUAUGACAUAUUAGAAGAAAAGGUGAAGGCUGUGAUUGAAACUUAUCCUGAGUUUCACCUGACUCGGGGUAAAAAGGUAGGAUAAAUAAUCCACAAGUUAUGUUAGCCUUUUAAGGAAGACAUAGUAGAUUGUUAGAUUUAUUAUAUGUGAUCCUUUUAGGUCCUGGAGGUACGACCAUCUAUAGAAUGGAACAAAGGGCAUGCGCUUGAAUAUCUACUUGACACCCUUGGAUUCAGUAACUCAGGUGACGUCCUCCCAUUGUACAUAGGGGAUGAUCGAACAGAUGAAGAUGCUUUCAAGGUGAUAGAAGCCAGAGGACAGGGAUUUCCAAUAAUCGUGUCCUCCACCCCAAAGGAAACCAAAGCUGCUUAUUCUCUGCACGAUCCAUCGGAAGUGUUGACAUUCUUANNNNNNNNNNNNNNNNNNNNAUCUAUAAGCGCUAAAUUAAAUUCUCCAUUCAAAUAUGAAGUUUGUUGCUCUACUUAAAGUAUUUAUUGAUCAUAACUGAUCAGAAGUUAUGGAAUUGAUUUUUCAGGAGUCAUUCCCCAACCUGGAAUCUUUAGGCUUGGGCAUAAUGGAGAACUGGGAUAGUCCGCCACUCCAUUUGUUUAGGAAGCUCAAAUCUCUUUAUACUUAUGCACACACCAACUCAUCUUUGAAUUCCCUUGAGCAAUUACUUGGUCUUGAAAAAGUCAAUGGAGAAAUACAUGCAGCUGGGGAUGCGACCUUCCCGUUUUUAAGAGAGUUGCACCUUCACGGGAUGCGGAAGCUGAUGAAUCUUGGGGAUGACAGCUUAGGACUAGCAGGCCUAUAUUUUCCAAAACUGGAAAGUCUAAAGCUAGAGGAUUGUGACAGCUUAAAGAAUUUAAGAUCAUCAGCAAUAUCUUUCAACAAUCUAACAACCCUGCAAGUAAGUCGUUGUAAGGGAUUGAACUACCUGAUAUCUUUAUCCAUGGCCACAUGUUUGAUGCAACUCACAAAACUAGAAGUUGGUGAUUGUGAGGAAAUGAUAGAAAUAGUUGCAAGCAGUGGAAAUGAUGAUUUAGCAAAUGAGAUUGAAUUCAGGGUGUUGAAACAUUUGGAACUGUCUAAUCUACCAAGUCUGAGAGGCUUUUGCUCGGGAGCUCGCAUUGUCAAAUUCCCCUGCUUGGAAAACUUAUCGAUGACUAGUUGUACUCAACUGGAGGGAUUCAUCUUUGAUUCUACGGAUAAAAGUAGACUUGGCAACGAUAUCGAAGACGCCAACUCAAAUGAAAACAUUGACACUGGAGUAGUGCAACGAUUCCUUUUGAACAACAAGGUGAAAUAACUAAUCGUAAAUCUGUUUAUAGUUUCUCUAACAGUUGUAUAAGAUAACUAAUAUAUAUUUUUGUACAGGUUGAACUACCGAGGUUNNNNNNNNNNNNNNNNNNNNUUUUAGUUCUAUGGGUGUUCAGCUUAUAGAUUAUAAGACUAGUUACUAAGAGGUUUGAAAAUAUUUGUUUUGUACUCGGUUAAUUUGACCUUCUGGCAUUGUAAGAUAUGUUCAUCAAGUCCUUCAGUUUUAAAUUGACUCUGCUUCUUGUCUUU